Molecule: ribosomal RNA, 468 nt
Filed under: uncultured bacterium
Lineage: Bacteria
Description: partial 16S ribosomal RNA
Rfam family: Bacterial small subunit ribosomal RNA
Source: RNAcentral
GACGAACGCUGGCGGCGUGCUUAACACAUGCUAGUCGAACGGAAAGGCCCUGCUUUUGUGGGGUGCUCGAGUGGCGAACGGGUGAGUAACACGUGAGUAACCUGCCCUUGACUUUGGGAUAACUUCAGGAAACUGGGGCUAAUACCGGAUAGGAGCUCCUGCUGCAUGGUGGGGGUUGGAAAGUUUCGGCGGUUGGGGAUGGACUCGCGGCUUAUCAGCUUGUUGGUGGGGUAGUGGCUUACCAAGGCUUUGACGGGUAGCCGGCCUGAUAGGGUGACCGGCCACAUUGGGACUGAGAUACGGCCCGGACUCCUACGGGAGGCAGCAGUGGGGAAUAGUGCACGAGGGGCGGAAGCCUGAUGCAGCAACGCCGCGUGCGGGAUGACGGCCUUCGGGUUGUAAACCGCUUUCGCCUGUGACGAAGCGUGAGUGACGGUAAUGGGUAAAGAAGCACCGGCUAACUACGUG